This is a long non-coding RNA of Planococcus citri (citrus mealybug), 3247 nucleotides long. RefSeq lists it as uncharacterized. Lineage: Eukaryota; Metazoa; Arthropoda; Insecta; Hemiptera; Pseudococcidae. The transcript is spliced from 5 exons. The record is from RefSeq and is a predicted model, not a curated record.
GAUUUCCGUUGAUCGCCGCCGGUUUGAAAUUGAAACCACAGAACUGGUUUUAGAAGAAUGUGCAGGAGAUCAAGAGCAGGAUUCGAGGUGACGACGUUGGAUAUCUUCUUGAAGACAACUGUAAUGAACGAGAUGGCAUCGAACCAGUCCGAAGAACAGUUCUUUGACUUGGAUACUUUGCUACAAAGGCACCACAUGAUGAAGAUGUACAAGGCGCUGUAAUUGCCCCAAACAUUGAACUCAAAAACAAGUUGAGGAAGGACAGGUGUUUUACAUUUCCCUUGAAACGUAUUUUCCAAUGGGUGGCAAAUAAUUACACGUUUUCAUUACUGCAAUACUGAAAUUCACUUUGUAAAUUCGCAACGAAAAAUUGGAAAUAUAUGCCUCAAGAAUGUGUUACUCCAACUGCAACUGCAGCUGACAAUAGGUAUUUCACAUCCCAACCAUUAAAUGACCUUGUUUCAUUAAACUGCUCGCAAAAUCGUUACAAUUUAACUUUUCGUUAACAAGUUGAAGCAUAUGUAGGUAAUAAUUAUCGUGGAAAAUAAUAUCUACCUACCUUCAACUCCUUAAUGAACCAUAAUAUUUCAGUUGAAGUAUGACGACAUUCGUUAACAAGUGUUUACUCAAGAGGAUGAAAUUCAUUUAGUCCAAAGUGAUGCUAUGUUUGAAAAAAAAAAACACGUGUCUUAUGUGAGUCAAAGUAUACGCAAAACUAAUGAGCAGUUUGCACUUGAAUUUUAUUGAAAUCGUUAAAAUCCAAAGUCUUGUGUUUGUAUUUUACAAAUUCUGAAACUAAAAUAAUGAAGGGAAAUCCCAUCUUUUAGAACCUGGAUGAGAAAAAGCACUUCGGUAGCGGGGAAGAGUGUAUGGAGGAAAUUUCUGACGUGGUGGUGAUGGUGGUAGUGAUGGCGGCGGCGGUGGCGGUCGAAAACGACCAUUUUCAUCAAAGCUUUGUUUAAAAACGUUUUGAAAUAGUUGGAGACUCUUGAGAAAAUCUGGAUCAUUGUUAGGUCCAGGUGACUGAUUUGUGUUUUUAUCUGCUGGAGAUGGGGUCCCGAAUUUGGACAUAGAGAAGGAUGAGGAAAGAAGCUGCCGCAUAUAGUAAGGCAUAUCCUCAGCAGAGUUUUCUUGAUUUUUAGCUGAUGGGCUUGAUUUGUUGUUUUCAUCCUGUAAUUAUGAAUGAGAAUUUGAAAGAAUUUGAACUAUAUGUUACAUACUCUUUGACAGGCUUGUGCUUGAAAGCAUUCGAGUGUUACAAUUAAAAAUUAUUCACGUACUUUAUGCUUUUCCUUAUACUUUUUAUAUUCUUUAGUAAGCUCAUAAUCUUCUUGCUACAUGAAAAUAAGAUAAUUAUGUCACCAGAUAAUGAGUGUAUGCACAUUUCAUCUUCUGAUGUGAUUUUAUGAGCUCAUUUUUCUCUUACCAAUCCCUCCGUGACUACUUGUUUGAGGAGUGCUUUAUCAGCGGUAUACGUAAAGCUGUUUUUCUUUCUUUGUCAACUAAAUAUGGGGAAAUAAUAAUGUAGGUACUUAAUUUAAUGAAAAUACUUACAUUAUAUUCAUCAAGUUCACAUAAUGAUCGACAAAGUUGAUAAAAUGAUAAAAUAAUAAUGAUUUUUAGAAAGGCUGGUCAAAAGAACUAGUCUAUUAGGCACAUUACCAAAUAAUAUAUGGUUUCUCCAAUUUUGUAUUUUCCUUGUAGUGUCAUGUAAUUGAUAAGAUUGUUAUACUUUAGCUGGAAGUUUACAAACGUUGAUUCAUCAUUAAACUAUUACUGUAAGUAGGUACUGAUUCCCUUAAGUGGUCAGCAGCACUUACUAUAAACCGUAAAUUUUCAAUAACACUAUACAUCUCGGGUUUCUGUUCUGCUAGUGGUUUUGGCCCUUUCGAUUGGUCUUCAUCUUCCUGAAUGAAGUUACAAUGUUUAUUUAAAUUGAAUGUUGGAAAGGAUGGAUGGAUACGUAUGUACUUAAUCAUUUUUAUCAAUAAUUAGGUAGGUAUCUAAUUAUUUACUGGUGGUUCACUUACAGUUCUUCGACUUGGAGGCACUGCUAAAAAAUGGGUACUAUCACAUGGUGGAGAUGUACAAGGCGGAGGUGCUGUAAUUGGCCCAAAAAUUGAACACACAAACGAGGAAAGUUUGAUUGCAAACAAGAAAAACCAACAGUUCUGAGCGAAGCGAGGGCUGAAGUUUUCGAAAAUGUACCUAUUAUUAUUCAAGUAUAGGUAGUAGGUACGUAGUAAAUGAUUAUUUUCUUGCAAGAAAUUAAUUUCUCAAAUACAUUCACAUUUUUAAAAGUUAAUAGGUACCUCUACCUACCUCUACCUACAACAAAUAUUUUUCAGGUGCAGUAAUUCAGAAACAGAACAAUAAUUGUAGGUAUUCAGUCCGAGCGAAGCAAAGGGAAACAAUUUCAAAAAUGACGAUGCUCGAAUUUGGAGACAAUUUUCUUCAUCACGAACAUAUGUUCAACGAAUACAAAUCAGUGAAGUAAAUAAUGUGAUUUUAUUUAAAUAGUUCAAGUUUAUUUACCAAUAUUUUGAAAAACAAUUCCUAAUUAUGACACAAUUAACUUGAUUUUUUGUAAGAAUUGAAGAACCAAUUUCGACUUUAUAUCCUACAUACUUCCAUGUAAAGCUUAACUUCCAAGAUUUGACUACUCCUCCAGGAAUUUAAAAGUUGGUUUAGAUAGGAACGUGUAACAAUAACCUCAGAAUCGUAAUUUCAAUCGUUUAUCAGUACUUAGCGAAGAAGCCUCUGUUUCCAGAAGAAAAUUAUGAUUUAAUUCAAGUAGUUUUUGGGGGAUUUUAAUCCAACCACCACAUACAAGAUUCAAUUGAUUUUCUGGCUGUUUUCUUGUUAAGAAAGAUAUUAGGCAGACUUUUCUUUUCAUGUCACACAAUGUGACACAUAAUGCAAACAUUAAAUACUUAAUGCAAAAGAAAUAUUUCCAAAACAAUGAAAAAAAUCAUCAUAAAAUAUAAUUAAUAUGGAAGAACAUGAUGAAAACUCGAACAUGGCACAAAAAUACCAUAAAAACAAUCAAUACUUAAUCCAAAAGAAAUACUUCCAAAACUAUUUUAAAAAAUCAUAAAAUAUAAAUAAUAUGCAAGAACACGAUGAAAACUCGAACAUGAUACAAUAAUACCAUAAAAAAAUAUAUAUAUAUAAUCAAUAAAAUUAUCCAAAAUCACAGUCUCCUGAAUGACACCUAUGUAAUAGACACGUUUGUAAUCGCAAGUCA